CCUACGGGUGGCUGCAGUGGGGAAUCUUGGACAAUGGGGGCAACCCUGAUCCAGCGACGCCGCGUGGGUGAUGAAGGCCUUCGGGUUGUAAAGCCCUUUUCCCGGGGACGAUGAUGACGGUACCCGGGGAAUAAGCACCGGCUAACUCCGUGCCAGCAGCCGCGGUAAGACGGAGGGUGCUAGCGUUGUUCGGAAUUACUGGGCGUAAAGGGCGCGUAGGCGGCUCUUUCAGUCGGAUGUGAAAGCCCGGGGCUCAACCCCGGAACGGCAUCCGA
Molecule: ribosomal RNA, 275 nt
Filed under: uncultured Geminicoccus sp.
Lineage: Bacteria; Pseudomonadati; Pseudomonadota; Alphaproteobacteria; Geminicoccales; Geminicoccaceae
Description: partial 16S ribosomal RNA
Rfam family: Bacterial small subunit ribosomal RNA
Source: RNAcentral